Odocoileus virginianus texanus is the source of this 4125-nucleotide non-coding RNA. The record is from RefSeq and is a predicted model, not a curated record. NCBI's taxonomy places the organism in Eukaryota, Metazoa, Chordata, Mammalia, Artiodactyla, Cervidae.
GAAUGCCACAAGUGAAGAUCUCAGCCGCUGCAAGUAGAAGACCCUGCCUGUGGCAACGAAGACCUGGCACAGACAAAUUUUUUAAAAAGUGAUUGUUUGUGGAAUGAGCUACUGAACCUCUUGGGCAUGUAUUGAGAAGAGAAAGUAAUAUGGUAGAUUUAAAAUUUUCUGACAUGAUAGGUCAGUUCUGAAUGUAUGGCCUCUAAUUUCCCCUGUUUAACCUACCUACAUGGUUUCUAUCUCCUGAUUGGGUCAAAACCACUGCCCAAGGUAUUUAAAGAUUCACAAACCAGCCCCAGGCUUUCCCUCAGCUUCCUCUUCUCAGGUUUGAUUCUUCAGGCAUCCCUCCUCUCUCAUCUCUGGCCUGGCUCACCCUUCCUCUUGCCCUAGUUUACUUUUGUCAUUAAAUCCCACCCAUCCCUCACAUGUCAGAAAGGCAUCAUUUCUUCAGAAAAAUCUUUUCUAAACCUGCCAACUCUGGAUUGAAUGUCUUUCCCAAGUAGUCCCAUAACUAACUUAGUACGGAUCACUCUGUAUUGGAGUUAUCAGCUUACUUGUCUUUCUCCUCCUAAAAUAAACUCCUGGAAGGGGCAGAAUUGACAUCUUUCCCUGUUACAAGCUUAGCCCCCAGGUGGGCCCAGGCACAUGCACCCAGUUGAUACUCAUACACGUUUACUGAAUGAACACCUAAAUGACAAGGUAUUAUUUAGGGAGAUCAUCAUCAACACAGAGGUUAGUGCACAGAACACUAGAUGAUUUUCAAAUUUAAUUUUGUUGUUUAGACGUCAGAAAAAGCUUGACGGAGAAAGCAGUAUUUAUACUAAUCUUUCAAGGAUUUUAAGGAGGCAGAGAUGAGGAGUUUAGAGCAAAUGGACAGAAGAAACAAAUAUAUAGAAGAGAUCUCAUUUAUAUUCUGUACACGUGGAAAACAAUCUCAGUUUUCUGGACGGGGUCAAGUGUGUGAUGGGGAACCCAAAUGUGGCAAAGAAGUGUCAACAAGAGACUUGGGGCCAGAUCCUGAAAAGUCUCACAAUAUAUGGAGGAAGACUGAUUUUGAAAAUAACCAUAACUGGUUAUGUGGUCCAGCAGUAUCAGCAGCAACUGGGAACUUGAAGAAAGGUACUCAGGAUGUGUCUGCUUCUGUCUGUCCUCCAGCCCACCUGCCUAAGAAGACUUCUUGGGGGAUAGGACUCCUUCAUGUGAGCCAGAGUCCUGUGGCCUGUGUGACACCAAGGGGUUGAAGCAAUCAGUUGGGUAACAGUAUGAUGCAAGUUUCUGUUUCAGAAAAAUGACUAAGAUCUCCAGGUCAUUCUAAGAGAAGAAAGUUUACAAGAACUCGAACUUGUAGAUCCAGAAGGGAAAGGGCAAGAUUCCAAAAGCAGAUGGAAACCGACGAGACAGUAAUUAACGGAAUGUCUGCUGAGCGCAUACUGAACAUACCCAGACUUCCCCCUGAGCCUGAGUGGCUCUCAAAUGCCCACGCUUCUCUGGUGAAGGCAGAUCCUGGUGAUGACCAGUGAGUCCACUAAAGGAAAGUACAUUUUCAGCCUCAUCCUGUUGCAAACCAGCAGUGGCCCUUUUGGAGGAAAGCUCAUUUCCAGCUUCCUGUGUCCUUUCUUAUUCUGUUUGAAUCCCGUUUGCUUCUCUAAUCGCAGGAACGAAGGGUCACGUCACACCCGUAUGUAAUCCAGGAAGUUGCCUGGAUUACAUUCUAACGGCAUGUGGGGCUCAGGAAGUUGGGGGUGAGGAGGCGGGCAGGAUAGGCCCGGCGUCUCUUUGUGACAAAUCUGUUGGCUGUUGCUGUGUUCCCAACCAUGAGCCUCAGCUGAAUCUCUUCUGUUCUCCAGUCCCAAGUUAUUUUCCUAAAUUAAUGGCUUAGUCUUGGUGUCUGGAAAGCAAUUUGGUUGUUCGUUUGAGGUGGCUAAAGCUAUCCAGAGGAAAAAUAAAAAGUCACCAUUAGGUAAUGAAGCCAGACUAUUGGGUGUCUCAUAUCCUGGCUCCAAAUGCAGAUAGAAAAGGGGAGCCCAGAAAGGAUUUCAACAGCGGUAGCAUUGUUGGAAUAAGUGGCGGGUGCCCAUGGGGACUUAGAGGCCAGCACCUAUUUGAAUGUGUGAGAUCUGAUAUUUUAAAAAAUCAGGGAUGACUCUAUUGUCACCCCUGGUAUUUUUAAUAUGGCUGAUGUGGGGAGUUGAGAGGCUCAAUGUGGCCACAUCCCAGUUAAUUUCCUAUCACAGUGUUAUUUCCUGUUCUAGCUCUGGCUCAACAAAUAGUCACAAAUCCUAACAAAUCCUAUUCUUUUUUUUGAAGGAGUAAUGGUGCUAUUUUUAGCGAAUGUUAUGCAACCCAAUGAGUGGCAAGAUCCACUUGAUUCUGCCUCCUCACUGCCACAGUAUCUGCCCCUUUUACCUCCAUCUCGCAGACCUGUUUCAGACUCUCUGCUAUUUUUUCUUUGCUAAUGCAUUGGCCUUCCUUGUUGAUCUCUCUGUGUUUAGUCUGAAUCUGUUUCCAACUCAAUCUAUUCUUUAUACUGCUUCCAAAAGUGAGAUUUUAAAGAUACAGUGGAAAUAGGCACUGACAUUUUAAUUAUGUAAUUAAUACUCUCUGACGCCUUUCAAUGUAUAUGAAGAUACUGAUGUUGACAAGUUUCUUUUGAUGAGUGAUGUGAUGGGAAUGGAAGUGUUGAGAUCAGUUGUUCUGCAUGAGAAAGAGGAACCGAGUGACGCAGAGGAGGAGGGGAGCGUGAGGUUCCAAGAGUCAGAGGAAGUGAAAGGUCUUGAAGAAAACGUUUUCAGAGAGAGAUGGGGAUACUGCCGGCAGCCAGUGAGGGGCUGGGAGGAAUCAUGUACCCUUGAAAGUGACUCCUCUUGCAGUCUCACACAUAAGACCUUCGGUUUUUUAAGAGAUGUAUAAAUCUCUACCUGAUAAAAACAUAGCAAAAAUCCCUACUUCUUCUUAGUGUUUUGUGGAGGGGAUUAUUCUUUGCGGGGAGUUUGUAGAAGCACUGAGUUACGCGACAAAAAUGGCAAGAAUCAAACAAACCCCAAACCAAGGAAGGAUGUGGAGUCAGCCAAUCUCCAUAAUGGGCAAGCCAGUCUCUCUGCUCCUCUGAUGAAGUCUUCCAUGGAUCUGCAUUCCCCAUGGGGUGGUCAUGAGGGCCUGGCACACUUUAGCAUGGAAUACAAGAUCCUGCCUGAUCUGGUCUUUACAUACCUGUCCAGCUAUGUCUUCUAAACAACAGUUCACACACACACACACACACACACACACACACCACAGAGCACUGGGCUGUAAUUCUAGCAGACUGUCAUGAUGGUACACGCUGUUUCAUUCUGUCUACAGUGCUUCUCCCCUGCCCUUGUUUAGCUGGAAAAUGCCUCCUUCUCCUCUGUCAAGCAGACUUGGGAGCCCUCUCUUCUGGGCUCCAAAUUUGUCUUGAAGAUAUGUACUUUUAUUAUAUCAUCACACUGUUUUAUAGCUGUGUAUUUGCAUACCUGUCUCCCUGACAUGACCAUAAGCUCCUUAGAUCCAGGUUUAGUCGUAUCUCUGUAAAGGAUUUCUAGCACCCAGAAAUGGGCUAGUCUUAUGUGUGAUAAAUGCUUACGUUCUAUGGCUUGUAAGUGUUCUACAGGGAAGGUACCAUAACUAGCUGAUCAGAGAGGAAGAAAAAUUGUCAUUGUUCUCUAAAGCUUUCACAAUAUGUGUCACUUUUGUGUUCAUAAAGCCUGUUAUUAUGGUGAUCCUCAAUCAACCAUGACUCUCAGCAUUCAAGUCUUUCCAACAAUGACUCUGGGCUUAGCCAUGUGACUAGCUUUGGUCUGUAGAGAAUUGGCAUGCAUGAUGUAAAAGUGGCUGCUUGGUAAGUAUUUGCAGGUUGGGUUUGCCGACUGGGAAUGCUCUUGGUAACUGGGUGUCAUAUUAUGAGGAAGCUCAAGCAGCCAUAUGGAGAGGCCCAUGUAAAGAGGAACUGGAGCUCCUGGAUGAUGGUCUCAGCUGAGCACCCAGCUAGUGACCAUCACCCACUGAAUGAGACAUCUAGACCUCCCAGGCCCCCUCACCCCAAGUACCCCAGCCAUUGCUACAUGGGGCAGAAGAACUAUUAAUUGUGAGAAGUAGAAUUGCUGUUGU